CCUACGGGUGGCAGCAGUGGGGAAUAUUGGACAAUGGGCGCAAGCCUGAUCCAGCAAUGCCGCGUGGGUGAAGAAGGCCUUCGGGUUGUAAAGCCCUUUUGUACGGGAAGAAAUCCUGUCGGUUAAUACCCGGCGGGGAUGACGGUACCGUAAGAAUAAGCACCGGCUAACUUCGUGCCAGCAGCCGCGGUAAUACGAAGGGUGCAAGCGUUAAUCGGAAUUACUGGGCGUAAAGCGUGCGUAGGUGGUUCGUUAAGUCUGUCGUGAAAGCCCUGGGCUCAACCUGGGAAUGGCGAUGGAUACUGGCGGGCUAGAGUGUGAUAGAGGAUGGCGGAAUUCCCGGUGUAGCGGUGAAAUGCGUAGAGAUCGGGAGGAACAUCUGUGGCGAAGGCGGCCAUCUGGAUCAACACUGACACUGAGGCACGAAAGCGUGGGGAGCA
RNAcentral lists this ribosomal RNA (440 nucleotides) under uncultured bacterium. RNAcentral describes it as "bacterial SSU rRNA". It matches the Rfam family "Bacterial small subunit ribosomal RNA", at positions 338 to 770 of the family's 1533-position model. The record is from RNAcentral.